GGUGUCAUACGGGAGGCAUCUCCUGAGCAAGCCCUGGAGAGUCCCUUUUAUUGAAUAUUACAGCGUUUGCCACGUACGUGCUUGUUGCUGAUUGGUUAACAUAAGUACAAAGCAAGGGUUGCAUAUAAGACAUUAAUCACUGCAUAUAAGGCAUUAAUCAUCGAUAGGUUAAAGGUUGGGAAAAGGAACGCGGAGUUUAGACAGGUAUGGUUUCCUUCUUAUCAUGAUCGAUGUGGUGCUACUAAUGGACUGCCUGUUCCAGGGUGGUACGAAAGGAAUGUACACAGAGGGAUAAGUACAGACUGAUAUGGUGUGAACUCAAGGUGAACAGAACGUACCAGGGUGAUGAGGGAAUGUCUUAGCAUCAGCACAGUUUGUGCAGCAUGAGCAGGAGAAAAGCUUAGAAGCAAGACUUCCCAUCAUGCCACAGUCAUGUGCAGAAGCAAAGCUUCCCAUCAUGCCGCGGUCAUGUGCAGAAGCAGAGCUUCCCUUCAUUUAAAUAUAUUUUUUAUUUCUUACUUUUAUCAUUUGAAAUAAAUAUACUUCUUUCAGAAACCACCACCACCACAUCUUUAGUUUCUUCCUUUGGGGGGGGGGGGUGUUGCCUUUUGUUUUUUGGUUCUCUCCCUCUUUCUUCUCUUAAAUUACCGCCCAGUUUCCAAUCUUCCAUACCUGGGUAAGGUAAUUGAGAGAGCGGUAGCUGAACAGCUUAGUAGGUUUCUGGAAGAAACAUCGGCUUUAGAUCCAUUUCAGUCCGGGUUCCAUCCUGGAUUUGGGACCGGCACGGCUCUGGUUGCCCUAACAGAUGAUCUCCGUAGACAACUGGAUCAAGGCGGGUCAGGACUACUGAUCCUUUUAGAUUUGUCAGCAGCCUUUGACAUGGUCAAUCAUGAUCUUCUGGACCACCGCCUCGCCGACGUGUGGAUACAGGGCAUAGCCCGUAAAUGGCUGUGCUCUUUUAUCUCUGGUCGGGGACAGAGGGUGGCACUAGGGAAGGAGAUGUCGUCACGCCACACCUUGGUGUGUGGAGUGCCGCAGAGCGCAAUCCUCUCCCUGAUGCUUUUUAACAUCUUUAUGCGCCCCCUUGCCCAGAUUAUCCGGAGCUUUGGGCUGGGUUGCUGAUGACACUCAGCUCUAUCUGCUGAUGGAUGGCCACACCGACUCGGCCCCAGACACACUGAUCAGAUGCUUGGAAGCUGUGGCUGGAUGGUUUCGUGGGAGCUGAUUGAAACUAAAGCCUUUGAAGACAGAGGUCCUAUGGCUAGGUCGGGAUGGCAUGGGGAUGAGGAACCAACUCCCUUCUCUUGUGGGGGCCCAAUUAGUGCCAUUGCCUUCCGUUAAGAGUUUGGGUGUAAUCCUUGAUGCCUCCCUUUCCAUGGAUGCGCAGGUUACAGCAACAGCCAAGGCGACAUUUUCCACCUUCGCUGCAUCAAGCAGUUGGUCCCUUACCUUUCCCGCCCCGACCUGGCCACAGUGAUCCAUGUGAUGGUCAUCUCCAGGCUUGACUACUGUAAUUCGCUCUACGCGGGGCUGCCCUUAAAGCUGUCCCAGAAGCUCCAGCGGGUGCAGAAUGCUGCAGCGAGGAUCCUCGCGGGGUCUCUGCCAUGGGAGCAUAUUCACCCAGUGCUUUUCAAGCUGCACUGGCUCCCGGUGGAGUACAGGGUCAGAUUUAAGGUGCUGCUUUUGACCUUUCAAGCCCUUCACGGCCUAGGACCCUCGUACCUACGGGACCGCCUCUCCCGGUAUGCCCCACAGAGAGUCUCAAGGUCCAUAAAUAGCAACACCCUAGUGGUCCCAGGUCCUAAGGAAGUUAGAUUAGCUUCAACCAGAGCCAGGGCCUUUUCAACACUGGCUCUGGCCUGGUGGAACACUCUGCCUCAUGAGACCAGGGCCCUGGAGGAUCUGAUUUCUUGCCGCAGCCUGUAAGACAGAGUUGUUCCGCCUGGCCUUUGGCUUGGAGCCAAUUUGAUUCCCUCCCCCUUUCUUUUUCCUUUCUCCUCCUGUGAUGAGGCUGCAUUUUAAUAUUUGUAUUCUUUUGUAUUUGUUGUAUUUUAAUCUUGUUUUUAAGUUGUAUUCAUUCAACUUCUUUUUAUUAUUGCUUGUUAGCUGCCCUGAGCCCAGCCUUGGCUGGGG
This 2133-nucleotide long non-coding RNA is filed under the name Podarcis lilfordi (Lilford's wall lizard). Lineage: Eukaryota; Metazoa; Chordata; Lepidosauria; Squamata; Lacertidae. The record is from RNAcentral.